This 253-nucleotide ribosomal RNA is filed under the name uncultured bacterium. RNAcentral's name for it is "partial 16S ribosomal RNA". It matches the Rfam family "Bacterial small subunit ribosomal RNA", at positions 524 to 776 of the family's 1533-position model. The record is from RNAcentral.
UACGUAGGGGGCAAGCGUUGUCCGGAAUCACUGGGCGUAAAGGGCGCGUAGGCGGCGGUUCAAGUCGGGGGUGAAAGCCUGUGGCUCAACCACAGAAUGGCCUUCGAUACUGGACGGCUCGAGACCGGAAGAGGUCAGUGGAACUGCGAGUGUAGAGGUGAAAUUCGUAGAUAUUCGCAAGAACACCAGUGGCGAAGGCGGCUGACUGGUCCGGUUCUGACGCUGAGGCGCGAAAGCGUGGGGAGCAAACAGG